Molecule: long non-coding RNA, 329 nt
Filed under: Prunus persica (peach)
Lineage: Eukaryota; Viridiplantae; Streptophyta; Magnoliopsida; Rosales; Rosaceae
Description: long non-coding RNA (PPER_LNC005270)
Source: RNAcentral
AAAACUUGGGGAACAUCAUAAUACGGUGGGAGUAGUCAUUUGGUGUCUUUUGACUGAAAUCCAAUGGCUAAAACUAUGCAAUACACUAACCACUCCAUUUCGGAACGAACUUCGUACGAACCUGAAUUGUCUAAUUUCAUGGAACAAUCGAUAUCGGAUUGGGUCCAAACUUGGGGAACAUCAUAAUACGAUGGGUGGAGUCAUUUCUUGAGUUUUUAAUGAAAUCCAAUGGCUAAAACUAUGCAAUAAACCACCCACUCCGUUUCAUUACGAACUUCGUACGAACAAAAAUUGUCCAGCUUCAUGGACGAAUCGAUAUUGGAUUGUGU